CCCUGGCGGCGAGUGGCGAACGGGUGAGUAAUGCAUCGGAACGUGCCCAUCGAUGGGGGNUAACUGCGCGAAAGCGUUGCUAAUACCGCAUACGACCUACGGGUGAAAGCAGGGGACCGCAAGGCCUUGCGUCGAUGGAGCGGCCGAUGCCGGAUUAGCUAGUUGGUGAGGUAAAGGCUCACCAAGGCGACGAUCCCGUAGCUGGUCUGAGAGGACGACCAGCCACACUGGGACUGAGACACGGCCCAGACUCCUACGGGAGGCAGCAGUGGGGAAUCUUGGACAAUGGGCGAAAGCCUGAUCCAGCAAUGCCGCGUGUGGGAAGAAGGCCUUCGGGUUGUAAACCACUUUUGGCGGGAAAGAAAUGGUCUGUGCUAAUACCACGGAUUGAUGACGGUACCCGCAGAAUAAGCACCGGCUAACUACGUG
Molecule: ribosomal RNA, 429 nt
Filed under: uncultured bacterium
Lineage: Bacteria
Description: bacterial SSU rRNA
Rfam family: Bacterial small subunit ribosomal RNA
Source: RNAcentral